GAGUGUUUGAUUUUUACUGAAGGAUUUAAAGUAAACACGAACUGCAUUCAUAGUUUUUCCAAUACAUUCUGAAGAAAGGAAGAGAUCGUCCUGUAGUAUUGAAUAUCGACAUCAACUGUGGCUACGUCUAUACAAGCACAGAUUAUUUUAUUUAUGUCUUUUGUGCCUACACAUUUUCGAAAUCUAAAAGCAUUUUACAAAGGAUUACAUAUAUUUUAUGUGACUUAUUCUUAAACUGUUUGGUGGUAAGUAAAUUAUUAAUUGCAAUAACAGAAUGUUGAUAAAUUGUAAUGUUUAGGUACAGUUAUUGUUAAUUUGAAAUAUUUUGUCUUUAAAUAUUGAAUUUAACAUCUUGCUUUUAUCUUGAAUUUGCAUAUUUAAAUUAUUACAUACUUCAUCUAUCAUUGUUUUAGAUGAAAUGAUUUCAGAUGAAGCCUUAUUUCAUCUAAAGAUAUAAAAAAGAUAAUGUGGUAUGAUUGCCAAAAAGACAACUCUCCAGAAGAGACCAAAUGACACAGAAAUAACAACUAUAGGUGACUGUAUGGCCUUCAGUAAUGCAAAGCCCAUGCCCCAUAGUCAGCUAUAAAAGGCCCCAAAAUUAUGAAAUAUUUUUUUAGAUGAUAACUUACUUCAUCCAGAGAUUAUAUGUCUCUGCUUCAUCAGUAUGGUUAUUUAUAAAGAAAUGUUUUUGGAUGUUACCUUAUUAUAUAUAUAUAUGAUUAUUUAGGGGCCUUGGUGUCCCAGUGGUCUAUGUAGAAGAACUAAUUUUGACUUGCCUGUUAACACUGACAUUGUGAGUUGGAAUCCUGCAUGUGGCAGAUGGGCUAAAUAUUAAUUGACUAGGAUUGUCAGUUUUCCUACUGAAGGUUGAUGGUGUUUACAGGGCACUCCUACUUCCUCCUCCAAUAAAACCUGACUUCCACAAAAUAACACAAUAGUGCUGAAUGUGGUACAUGUAUUAAAUUACAAUAUAUCAAUCAAUUCAUAUAUGAUUAUUUACCGGUAAUGCCACCUUUCUGUAGGAAUGAUAAGAUGAAAUUGUUUUGAAAGCUUUCCAUCAUCAGCUAUAACUGUUCUGUUUUAUUUGUUGUAAUUAAUAAAACAUUUUUUAGAAACUUUUUGGUGAAACCAUUUUAUACUCUUUGAUUAGUUUUUUUUUUUUUUUUUUUUACAAAUAAUGAAAUAAAUGUGUCAGUGCUAUAACUAUUAAUUUUUUACUCCAUUAGUUCUUUAAAAUCAGAACAAAGAUAAAUUUAAUAAAAGUUAGAUAGCUUUCUCAUACAUUGUCAUUCUAUGUUUAGAUAAAUUCAGAAUAUUUUUUAAUGGCAAUUUUUCAAAAUCUUAAAUUUAUUUAUUUUUAACGUAAGACGCUCAAACUGUGCAAGAAUCAAAUCGUGUGUGAAGAUUUAUAUAAAAUGAGUAUUUGUGUCUUCUGAUUGAGUGAAUAAUUAUUAAAUGUUUUAUCAAUUUAACCAAAUUGAAACUUUUAAUAUUAUUACAAUGAAAAUUAAUUUGAAUUACAGUUAUUAAUGAUGAAGAUGUUGAUUGUUUAAUGUUAGAGAUAAUGUCACAGGAAAUAAAACCACACUAAAGAGAACAUAGAAAUUAAUAGUUAAUUUGAUAUUUCCUUUUUUUUUACGAAUUUCAGGAGGAUUUUUAACUUUUCUCUAUCUUAUUAAAUCUAUAUAUAUAAUAUUGAACUUUUACUGAUAAUUUAAAUGAAAUAUUAUUAUAAGCAAUCUAAUUUUAUUUUCAACAUAUUUGUUUCUUCCUGAAGUUUUACAGUGUUACAAAUGUUUACUCUGUUCAGACAGUAGACAAUUGACAGACAACCUAUAUAGUGGCAGUUAAUUAGGUAUAUAACCUGAUAACAAUCUGGGAUACUCCAAAACCCUGUGUCCACAAAUCUAGGAAUGUUUAUUCAAUUACAAAAAAACACAAACAUUGCAACUUUUUUUGAUAGUUCAGAGAAAGUAAAUAAAUUAAUUAACAAUUUGUAUUAAAAAUGUUUGACUCAAUUUAUCAUUAGAUUUCUUUUUCAAUAAAAAAAAUAAAAUCCUGUGAAUUUUUUACUUCAUAAAUUUUUUGGAAUUGUGAAUUUUUUCUUGCAGUUUUUUUCCCUAUCAAAUUUGGGAAUUUUUUGAAUGGCUUUUUUCCAUUUCACAGUUUUCCUUUUGAUAUUUAACUUUUUCCAUUGCAGGUUUAUUAACUUUUUCUAUUGCUCAGUUUUCCUUCUAAGAUUAACUUUUGUUUCUAUUGCUCUGUUUUCCUUUUGAGAGUUUAUAGUGUUGGCAAGGAGAGCUAAGAUUGAACCUACCUCUACAGUGGUUAGAUAACUACCAUGAUUUCAUAAAGUUAUUGAGAAUCUCACAGGGUGGGAGCUGAUGGAGGUGUAUCAAUUAGUGAAGAAGCAGUUUUAUAUGAUAUUCAAAUAAAACAAUAGAAAAGGUUUUCACAAAUUUAUUGAAACUGAAACCAGGUGAUAUAAGCUUGGCCUUAGAACAUAUAAUUAAUUAGGUGUAGCCUUCAUGCAUAUUUUGGCACUACACAGAGAUUGUGGAUUUAUUAAUAAGACAAGUGAUUACCAUGUAGUAUUGUGUACUGACAUGUGCGCAUGCAAGAAUGUUAAGGUAAGGCUAUAGAUAUGUGUGUUGUGUAUUCUUUCUGCAGGAAGUCAUCAAUUACCAAACUUUGAUCAUCUUCAACCUGUAUCUACAAGUAUACAAAGAGAAUUUACUACAGAAUUAAAUGUAACACAUCUCAAUGAUAACUAUAAGAAGCUUGUGCCUAGAUUGUAAAUGUAUUUUAUUUUUGUGUUUUUCUUCUUUCAGAAUAGCUGUGUGAGUUGUAGCCAAGUUUUUCAAGGAUUCCACAGUUUACAAUUGAGAUUUAAGUGAAUUAUGUUAUAGUGAUAACUAUGGAUUAUACAGUGUAUUAUAUUUGGAUUACAUGUUUUAUUUCUUCAGGUGAGUUAUAUCAAUGUUUAUAAUUGAAUAUUACAUGUAUCAGCACAAGAACAAUAUGUAUUGUAUUUCACCAAAUUAGGGACAUAGGAGUGCAAUUGUUUAAAACAGAACAAUUUGAUGGAAACAUUAUGGUUUAUGUAAAUCAUAAACAGUUUCUGCUUUUAGUAGAAUUAACCUUUACUUUAACUUAUGCAGAUAAGUCAAAACAAAAAUUAAUAUUUUUAGACUAAUUUUCAUAAAUUAGAUAACUUUCAAUAAAGCUAUCCAAAAAACACUAAUAAUUUGUAAAUAUUUUUGCUUGCCAAUCAGAUCUAAGGGUUAACAUAUAACCUCUAUCAUGUUCAUGUGAAGAGGAGGAUGACAAAGUAAAGACAUAUCAUUAUAUUGAUAGCUGUAUAGUUUGGCUAAAACUGGCCAUAAAUUUAACAAUUGUAGCCUUUAUUUCACCAGGAAACAUUAAAACAAUGAAUUAUUACAUAAAAAGAUAGGUACAUGGAAUGUUGAUUGUAACAUUUCUAUUGGCUUACUUUUCUUAGUAAUGUACAUGUAUAACAACAUAACACGCUGGGAAAUAAUACAUGUAAUAAUAGCCAUUUGUUCAUAACCAGUGCAGCAUAUAGAAUUGAAAUAAUACAAAAUAUAUAAUAGUAUCAGUGAUUUUUAUAUCUAGUAUGUACUUUACAGUUACAAACCAGUUUAAAUCAUAAGACAACAAAUAAAAUAAUGAAACAUAAAUAAUGAAAUAUAAAGAUACAUCACUUUACUGGCUGUUUGUACAUAUAUUGAAGGUGUGCAUGUGGUCAGGGUUUUGAUUUUCAUUAAUAUUUGCUCUUUUGGGAGAUAGUUGAACUUAAGUUUAAGUGAAUGGAUCUCUAUGAAAUUUUUUAAGAAGGCUCAAUACCACAAAAGGAAGGUUGGGAUUGAUUUUGGGGAUGAUGGUCCCAACCCUUUAGGAAUUAGGGACUCAAAAGGGGCUGAAAACAAACAUUUGUCUAGUUUCAGGACAAUAAUUUGUGUAUAAGUAUUUCAAUUGCUCUGAAAAUGUACCAUAAUGUUUAAUACCACAUGUAAAAGGUUGGGAUUUAUUUUAAGGGUUAUGAGGCAAACAGUUUAGGAAUUAAGGGUCAAGCAUUUUUCUAUUUUACAGACAAUAACUUGCGUAACUGUAUGGAUUUCUCUGACAUUGUACCACAAGGUUCCAUAUAACAAAGGGAAUGUUUGGACUGAGUAUGUAGAAAAUAGGGGCCAAAAAGAAGCAUUUUUUUCUAGUAUUCAGACACUAACUUGUGUUUAACUCACAGUGUAUUUUUUCGAAAUUUUUGGACACUUCAAUUCCACAAUAUUGCACAAUAGAUUUGUAAAAACAUUUAUUUUGUGUCAGAAACCUGUAUUAUGUCAUAAAUUUGAUCCCAAUCCAAAUUCAGACAGUAUCAAGCUUGUAUUAUGUGUUCAAAUUUUCCCCCACCUAUUCAGGGUUCGACCUCUGCGUUCGUAUCAGGCUGCUCUCAGCAAAGCAUUUUAUUUUGUAUUAUCUAUAUUGUAAAGGUUUAUUGUGCUAGUCAUUGUAGUGAGAAAUGAUUCUCUAUUCAUGCUAUUGGAAGUUAAAUUUAUUCUAUCUUUAUACCCUACAUAUAGUAUCUCAAAUGGUAAUGCCACAUACAAUGAUAUCAUGUAUAUAUAUAUAUAUAUAUAUUACAUUGUACAUUAUGGAACUUUGUAGAGGUGUGAAAAGGGGGAAAAUAGGAUUUACAUGACACACAGACAAUAGUAGUUAGUAUAUAUACAUGUAUGAUAAGAGCUGUAGACACAUUCAAUCUGUUGAGGAAAGGAAAUCAACAGUUUUCUUAAAUAUGUUUGCUGAUUAGGGUUUUUUAUCUUUUAAUUGAACAUGUUUAACUUACAAUAAAAAAAAAUAAGCAGAUGUGGUAUGAAGCCAAUGAGACAACUCUCCACAAGAGACCAAAUGACCCAGACAUUCAAAACUAUAGGUCACCGUACAGCCUUCAACAAUGAUUAAAACCCAUACUGCAUAGUCAGCUAUAAAAGGUCCAGGAAUGACCAAUGUAAAACAAUUCAAGGAGAAAACUAACAGCCUGAAUUAUGUACAAAAUAGUGACAAAAACAAAUAUUAUGUACAGCAACAAAGGGCAACCACUGAAUGGCUCCUGACUUGGCUCCUGACUUGGAACAGGUAAAUACAGAAUGAGGCAUGGUUUAAAUAGUUGCCUUGUCUGCCUCACAUAAUAGUUACGACCCUGAAAAUGUAAAGUUCACAUUGGCAUUCUUCAGUUUCAGAGUUAUUGGUUUAUUCAACAUGGGGUAAAAGUUUAUUUCACUUAAAAUCUAAAAAGUAGAUAACUUAGUUUAAUAGAUUCUCUCCUUUGACCAUGUUGACUGAGUGAAUUACAUAGUGUGUCUUAUGUACAAAUGAAUAGCAAUUAUUCUGUCUUAUGAGCCUUCUGGCAUGUCUAGUUUGUAGAGCAAAGCUGAGUCGUUUCUACUCCAUUGACAAUUGCUGAUCUACAGUAUCUUUAAUAGUACGCUCUACAAUAUUGUUCAUCAUGUACAUUUUGGGCAGAGCUCCCACCUAUUAGUAUUGAUGUUUUGUGGUAAUGGCUAAGACAAGAACAGUACAUGAAUGAAUGGAAUAUUCUAUUGUUUCUGAGUCUUGUCACAGGUCUUGUGUAUAGGAGACAGGUUAGAUUGACCUUAUACCAUCUUUAAUAAAUGUUUCAUUUCUGUUGUUUAAUUUGAAUCAGAUUAUCCAAUAUAUGCUGUGUCAUUUAUUGCCACCUUCUGUACUAACAUUGAAGUAGAAUUGUUGGGGUCAGGUUCACAGAUUAAGUGGUUCUUAUUUACUCAUGUUACUUGUCUGUUGUUUUGAUUGUAUAAAUAAUACAACAAAACAAACAAGGAAUUCACUCCACCAUCAUUGCUGAUGUAGGAUCAAACUUAAUUCUGUUAUCAAAUGUAUAUUGGAUUGAAAUCCAUUAAAUAAUCAAUUUCAUUCCCAGGUCAAUAUAUGUAAAUUUAAAUCUAGAAUUAAAAAGAAAAACUGGUGUACCUCUGAUUUCUGAAUUAAGAUGGAAUUUACAGUAAAUCAAUUAUUGGAAGUUUUCCAUCAUUUUACAUCAGCCAUUAUCAUGAUUAUCAAUGUAGAAGAAUUACAAGACUUUUGUGCCAAAUGUUCUCUAUCAUUGGUUCCAGCUGAAGAGUUUAUUUUAGUUUGUAAAUUGUUUAUUAUGUCAAUUAAGACAAAUUAAUAGAUCUUUUAUCAUGUUUGUGGUGAUUAGUCCUUGUUAGGCACAAAAUUCAAUUAGAAAACUUAUAAUUAGUUUACUAUGUGUUAAUUCUGUAAAAUUUCAAGUUUUAUUAUUUCUUUGUUCUAAACAUAAAAACCAGGUUCAAUAAUAAUUUGAAUUCCUUACAUAUAUACAUACAUAAAAACGAUUUAUUUGAGGUCUUUUAAUAUCUAUUUGAGUUUUGUUGCACUGCAUAGAUUAUAUGAAUCUGUCGCUCCCCAAUAUACUGAAGAGCCAGAAUGAGUUCUUUAAAAUAAAAAGUAAUGAUCUGAAAUUUUUUUUAAAUAAAAGGAGAUACAAGAUAUAGGUCUAUAAUGCUUUAAAUCAACAACAUUAAUAGCCAAUUUAAUAUAAUUGAUAAGGCAUAUUAUUGACCAUUCUGUCUUGUUUUCCUCAAAUGUGACAUCUUGGAUUUUGUACUUCCUUAUAAGCAACAUGAUCAGGGUGCCACAUAUGGAGCAGGCUUUCCUUACCCUUUCAAAGCACUUGGUUUUGGUAGUAAACAAGUUUUUAGAUUGCUAUGUUGUUAUGUAUAUACUGUUGUUUAUAAGUUUGAAUAUAUAUCCCUUUGGUACAUGUAUCUGCUUACCCUUCCAAUACACCUGGUUUUUCGUAGGAACAAGUUUUAAGAUAGCUAUGUUGUGAUUUGUAUAUAUUGUUGUUUAUUAGUUUGAACAUCCCUUUGGUAUAUAUUUUCUGCCCCUCUGAAAGUAAACAAGGUUACAGUAUAACCUAUAGAUAUCUCCUAAAUAAGACCAGAGUUAAUUAUAUACCAGUCUAAGAUCUCCUAAAUAUGACCAGCGUUAAUUAUAUACCAGUCUAAGAUCUCCUAAAUAUUAACAGUGUUAAUUAUAUACCAGUCUAAGAUCUCCUAAAUAUGACCAGCGUUAAUUAUAUACCAGUCUAAGAUAUCCUAAAUAUGACCAGCGUUAAUUAUAUACCAGUCUAAGAUAUCCUAAAUAUGACCAGCGUUAAUUAUAUACCAGUCUAAGAUAUCCUAAAUAUGACCAGCGUUAAUUAUAUACCAGUCUAAAGAAUCUAAAUAUGACCAGCGUUAAUUAUAUACAGUCUAAAGAUCUCUAAAUAUGACCAGCGAUAUUACCAGUCUAAGAUCUCCUAAAUAUGACCAGCGUUAAUUAUAUACCAGCUAAGAUCUCCUAAAUAUUCAGUGUUAAUAUACCAGUCCUAAAUCUCCUAAAUAUGACACGUUAAAUAUAUACCAGUCUAUAGAUCCUAAAUAUGACCAGCGUUAAUUAUAUACCAGUCUAAGAUAUCCUAAAUAUGACCAGAAGUUAUUAUAUACCAGUCUAAGAUAUCCAAAUAUGAACAGCGUUAAUAUAUACCAGUCUAAGAUAUCCUAAAUGUGCCAGCGUUAAUUAUAUUACCAUUAAGAUAUCUUAUACCAGCGUUAAUUAUUAUACCGUCUAAGAUAUCCUAUAAUAUGACCAGCGUUAAAUUAAUAUUAACCUAAAUAUACCAGUUAAAUAUACCAGUUAAGAUAGCUCAUAUGAGCCAGCGUUUAUUAUUACCAUCUACUGCCUAAAUACCAGCGUUAAUUAUAUACCAUCUAAGAUCUCUAAAUAGACCAGUCUAAGAUAUCCUUAAAAUGACCAGCGUUAUUAUAUACCAGUCUAAGAUAUCCUAAAUAUGACAGCAGUUAUAUUAUAUACAGUCUAAGAUCUCCUAAAUAUGCCAGCGUUAAUUAUACCAGUCGCAAGUUAAGAUCCUAAAUAUAUCGCAGUUAGUAUAUUCUAAAUAUAACCACGUUAAUUAUAUACAGUCAGAUCUCCUAUGACCAGCGUUAAUUAUAUACCAGUCUAAGAUUUGUGCAGAUAGAUUAUCAAAUUGCUGCACAUUGAAAUUGUAAAAUAACAGCUGCUUGCCACAAUGGUAAAUCUUUUUGGUGAUUGAGUGCAGCCAAAAGGCAAACAAACUUGAUCAGAGUUAAUAUACUAGUACAAGAAUUGGUACCUCUAGCCUUAGACUAUCUUCAUAUAGAGUGCUCUUAGUUUCCAAUUUGUAUGUAGUGGUGGACUUUCUCCAAAAAGUUCUUGAUAUUUGAAACUUUAAUAUACUAAUUGUUGUUUUACAAAGGUUGUAACUUAUGCAAACAUUUCGCCAAAUCUCUCAUACGUAAAUCAAAUAUUUUAACAAGCAAAUAUUUUAUCUUUAAAGAAAAGCUUUAAACCCAUAUAGUGAAAUAAAGUAAUACAAAUUGUGUCUUUGAUAUAAUUAGAUCUUGAAGAAGUUUGUUAUAACCAGUAAUAACAGUGAUUUAUCAAUAUUGUUACUUGUAGUCUACCAAGACAAAUAAAGGGGAAAACUUGACUGUAUUCUAGUAGCUAUAGUCAACAUAAUAAUAUACACAAGUACCUCAAUAUACUGACUUAAAUCUCUUUUAUCUCCAAGUAAAUAAAUAAAACCAGGUUAUGACUAUGUCAACAAUCCUUACAAUCAAUCUCUACAACAUUAGACAAAAUAUAAAAGGAGAAUCAAAAUAAGACACACAAAAAGUAGUUAAAAAUUACUUUCUGAUGUUUCACUGAAUAUGCCUGGUCAGUUCCUUCUCAUGUUUGAUUCAACAUAUAUGAAGUAUAUGUAGUUAUAUACCAGUUUGUAGUAUGUGAUAUGUUUUGUAUAUUAUCUUUAUGAACCUGUUUUGGGGAGAUUUGUUUUCAUAUGUGUAUCUCUGAACCUGUUUUGGGGAGAUUUGUUUUCAUAUGUGUAUCUCUGAACCUGUUUUGGGGAGAUUUAAUUUCAAAUGCCAGUCUGUAAAUUUGUAUAAAGUGUUUUGGGGAGAUUUUUUCAAUAUAUACAUGUGAAUCUGUAUGAACCUGUUUUGGGGAGAUUUUGAUUUCACUUUGAGAAUAAGUAUGAACCUGUUUUGGGGAGAUUUUGAUUUCACUUUGAGAAUUAGUAUGAACCUGUUUUUGGGAGAUUUGAUUUAACUGUGUGAAUCUAUGAACUUUUGGGGAGAUUUGAUUUAACUAUGUGAAUCUAUGAACUUUUGGGGAGAUUUGAUUUAACUAUGUGAAUCUAUGAACUUUUGGGGAGAUUUGAUUUAACUAUGUAAAUCUCUAUGAACCUGUUUUGGGGAGAUUUGAUUCCACUAUGUGUAUCUCUAUGAACCUGUUUUGGGGAGAUUUUAUUCCACUAUAUAUAUGAGAAUCAGUAUGAACAAGCUUUGGGGAGAUUUGGCUGUAUAUAUGGUAGUCUGUUUGAACUGUUAUGAGGAUAUUGGAUUUAACUAUGAGAAUCAGUAUGGACCUGCUUUGGGGAGAUUUGACUUUGUGUAUGGUAGUCUGUGUGAACUGUUAUGAGGAGAUUAAAUUUAACAUGUGUGAAUCAGAUGGUUGCAAGUUCAUAUAGAUAUAUUUCUGCUGUCUCCUUUCAGUUUUUGCUGUGCAAGAAUUUACUGUUACUCCACAAGAUAAAAGAGUUGUUCAGGGAACCAGUGUUACAUUUGAAUGUAAAGUGAAAAACCAAGUUGGAAGAAUUCAGUGGAUAUAUAAUGGAGAACCUUUAGG
RNAcentral lists this long non-coding RNA (9795 nucleotides) under Mytilus galloprovincialis (Mediterranean mussel). The record is from RNAcentral. Lineage: Eukaryota; Metazoa; Mollusca; Bivalvia; Mytilida; Mytilidae.